This 471-nucleotide ribosomal RNA is filed under the name uncultured bacterium. Its description in RNAcentral is "bacterial SSU rRNA". It matches the Rfam family "Bacterial small subunit ribosomal RNA", at positions 30 to 506 of the family's 1533-position model. The record is from RNAcentral.
UGAACGCUGGCGGCGUGCUUAAGACAGGCAAGUCGAACGAAGAGUUUGUAGCAAUACGGGCUCUUAGUGGCGAAUGGGUGCGUAACACGUAGGUGACCUACCCUGAAGUGGGUGAAUAACAGUUCGAAAGGACUGCUAAUACCGCAUGUGGUCCUGGAGGUUAGAGGCUCCAGGUCUAAAGCUUCUCGCAAGAGAGGCGCUUCAGGAGGGGCCUGCGGAUCAUCGGCUAGUUGGUAGGGUAACGGCCUACCAAGGCAGCGACGAGUAGGGGACCUGAGAGGGUGACCCCCCACACUGGCACUGACACACGGGCCAGACUCCUACGGGAGGCAGCCGUCGGGAAUAUUGCACAAUGAGCGAAAGCUUGAUGCAGCAACGCCGCGUGCGCGAUGAAGGUCUUCGGAUCGUAAAGCGCUUUUCGAGGGGAUGAGGAAGGACAGUACCCUCGGAAUAAGUCACGGCUAACUACGU